This 598-nucleotide ribosomal RNA is filed under the name marine alpha proteobacterium Fun-118b. Its description in RNAcentral is "bacterial SSU rRNA". It matches the Rfam family "Bacterial small subunit ribosomal RNA", at positions 65 to 710 of the family's 1533-position model. The record is from RNAcentral. Lineage: Bacteria; Pseudomonadati; Pseudomonadota; Alphaproteobacteria.
AGCGCACUCUUCGGAGUGAGCGGCGGACGGGUUAGUAACGCGUGGGAAUAUACCCUUCACUACGGAAUAGCCUCGGGAAACUGAGAGUAAUACCGUAUACGCCCUUCGGGGGAAAGAUUUAUCGGUGAUGGAUUAGCCCGCGUCUGAUUAGAUAGUUGGUGGGGUAACGGCCUACCAAGUCGACGAUCAGUAGCUGGUUUGAGAGGAUGAUCAGCAACACUGGGACUGAGACACGGCCCAGACUCCUACGGGAGGCAGCAGUGGGGAAUCUUAGACAAUGGGCGAAAGCCUGAUCUAGCCAUGCCGCGUGAGUGACGAAGGCCCUAGGGUCGUAAAGCUCUUUCGCCAGGGAUGAUAAUGACAGUACCUGGUAAAGAAACCCCGGCUAACUCCGUGCCAGCAGCCGCGGUAAUACGGAGGGGGUUAGCGUUGUUCGGAAUUACUGGGCGUAAAGCGUACGUAGGCGGAUUGGAAAGUAUGGGGUGAAAUCCCAGGGCUCAACCCUGGAACUGCCCUGUAAACUAUCAUCUAGAGUUCGAGAGAGGUGAGUGGAAUUCCCAGUGUAGAGGUGAAAUUCGUAGAUUNUUGGAGGAACACC